Molecule: long non-coding RNA, 1654 nt
Organism: Scomber scombrus (Atlantic mackerel)
Lineage: Eukaryota; Metazoa; Chordata; Actinopteri; Scombriformes; Scombridae
Exons: 2
Source: RefSeq, a predicted model, not a curated record
GAGGCAUCAGGCUCCUCUCGUGUGGAAUCAUCCUCCAGUUUGGGUCCAGGGAGACAUCCUCUCGACAUUUCAAAAGAAACUCAACCAGAGUGUCGGAUGCCAGCUCUCCAUCGUACUCAAUGAUCUCAUCGUCGGCAAAGAUGUAGAUGCUCUCUACCUCGUCCAGACCUGGUGAGAGAAAAGCGUUUCAACCAACAAGCUACUUAAUGUUUAGCUGUUGUCAUGCCACCUUUGUACCAUUUUUAUACAUACUGUUUGCCAAAUUGCUAUGGUAGAGAACUGAUUUGAAAGCACAGUUGCCAAUUAUUAUCAAUUUUAGCUGUUAAUAUGUCUAAAAUCACUAUAACUGCUGCAUGCUUGCUGCACUAUCUUGCAAUGUUGCAUACAAUCUACAUACCUUACAUACAUUUACCAGCUCAUUUAACCCGUUGCCAAUAUUAGCUACCACUGGUGUCCACAAAGUAACAAUGGCAUUUUCUUUAAGGUGUUGUAUGGCACCGCAACCGUGUGUGUGUGUCUACAGGUCUGCUAUAGUAUCAUGUACAAAAGACACCGAAUUUUGUUGAUAAUAAUAUCAUAUAAAAGUUACCAGAAUUACACAUUAAUAAGAGUGAAUUCUUGCAAAGAUACUUAUAGAGUCACAGGGCUUUCUAUUUCUGGUGUUUGCCUAAAAUAACUACUUUUCAUUUGUCUGCAUCUCUUUCUCAUGCUUAUGUCUAUCCCUCCACAUGAACUGUACCUUCGUAUCAUAUCUUCUCACAGACCCCCUAAUGAAGCUUUAUUUGUGCCUUGUUCUCAUUUUACUCUGUGAACACAAUGACUAGGCGACUGAAUAGGCGAUUUUCUGUCUGCUCUGAACCAUAUUUUUUAACUAAACGAUAACUUUGUGAAUGAGAGUUACUCAUGUUGACCAUUUUAUUCUGAGACAUUGUUUCAAACCUAAAAAGUGUUAAAAGAAAUUUAAGGUUUUUAUGUUAAUAUAAGAGCAGUUAAAACAGACCGUUCAAAUUUGACUCUAAACACUUAAAUAAGGGGGGAGCAACGAACACUGGAGAAGGGUUAAGUGUUUUAUUAAAAAAAAGAACUGGAGUACAAGCAUAUAAGCAUAAAUACAUCAAUUUGUUGUUAUUUUGUUUGUUCACUUGACUUGUAGGUUUUAGUUUUUUCUCCACACUUACAGUUUACAGCAGCUGUGAUAUAUUUGUUCAACACUUGAGGGCAGUAUAGUUUGAUGUGUUCUCUGUACUCAGCCUCAGACACUGACCCUAUGCUGCACUACACUUUUUUGUCAUUUAUUAUAACUCAUCAAUAACACUUGAUUAUUGGAUUUCAAUUCUGUGCAUCUUUUGUUCGGUCAGUUAUGUAUUAUUAGUAGCUAUGGUAGGUUUAAGUCAAUCAAAAAGCCUUUCUAAAGCAAGCCCCAAAUGCUACUCUAAAUGAACUGAUUGAAGCCCUUUUCUUUUUUUCUUUUAUUUUGUAUCUUUGAUGACUAAAUGGCUAAAUGAAAUACAAACCUGAUCAAAACUCAUCAGGUGCAAAAUGCAAAACACAUUUCUUUUUUUACCAAUUGCAAUCAAGAUUGUACCAUAAACCCUGUUCUUAUAAAAAAAAAAAAAAAUCAGAUAAAAAUGGAAUAAAGAAUAAUUGUAAAACC